Molecule: ribosomal RNA, 286 nt
Filed under: Dacryonaema rufum
Lineage: Eukaryota; Fungi; Basidiomycota; Dacrymycetes; Dacryonaemataceae
Description: partial large subunit ribosomal RNA
Rfam family: Eukaryotic large subunit ribosomal RNA
Source: RNAcentral
GUCUUGAAACACGGACCAAGGAGUCUAACAUGUCUGCGAGUGUUUGGGUGUCAAACCCGAGCGCGCAAUGAAAGUGAAUGCAGGUGGGAGGCGCGAGCCGCACCAUCGACCGAUCUGGAUCUUUAGUGAUGGAUUUGAGUAAGAGCAUAUAUGUUGGGACCCGAAAGAUGGUGAACUAUGCCUGAAUAGGGCGAAGCCAGAGGAAACUCUGGUGGAGGCUCGUAGCGAUUCUGACGUGCAAAUCGAUCGUCAAAUUUGGGUAUAGGGGCGAAAGACUAAUCGAACC